CUGGAAGCGAUGCGGGAGCGAUAUGGAGGGGAGAGCGGUGCGGGAGCGCUGCGGGGGGAAGGUGACUUGGCCGCAUUUCCAGCAUUAAAAUUUAAAGCGAGUUGCAGCAUCCUCCUACGCCGUAGGUAGGGCCGGGGGGGGCCGGGGGCUGCGGGAGGAGGAGUUUGCGUGGCCGCCUCUUCCUCAGGGAUGCUCUGGGAAAGCUCCAGCACAAAGGAGCGGCGCGGCGGGCAGAAGCGAGCGGAGCCGGCGCCCCCCAGCCCCAACCCGGCCCCCGGGAGCAGAAUCCUCACCAAGAAUAGGGUUCCUGCCAGGUAAAUGGAUUCUUGCCUGAUUUUCAAUGCCCCUGGGAAGAAUUGUAGCCAAAAUGCUGGUUCACUGCUUUGUCUCCUAAUCCCCAUUUUCUCCUAAAGAUGGGGAUCCUGGGUGGGGAUUAGAGGCGAGGCUGGGGCCAACACUCCUGGGGCACAGCACAGCCCCUCCUUCAGAGUUAACCUGCCAGAUGCUCCUCUCUCGGAGCCAUUUUCUCUCCCUCAUUGUCUCGCAGCCUUUUGUGUGUGUGAGUAGGUCCUGCCCAGGGCCCCAGGAGGAGCCCAGAAAUAAUCAGGUUUUCUGGUGUUCUGGGUUUUCAGGGAGCCUUUCACACCCUCACCCUCCCUUCUCCCAGGCUGCCCAGCCUCAGAGCUGUAGACAAAGGUGGUAGUGCCUGGCACUGCUGCAGCAGCAGCAAGGGAGCCUGGGAUGUGCCAGAGCCUGGGCUCUGCUGGAUGGCAGCAAGGGUCAGGCAGUGCUGGCAGGGCCCAGGGCAAAGGUAUUUGGCCACCCUGCUGGGAGCUGGGGGACUGGGGUGCCCAGAUGCCACAUCCCAGAGAUCAUCUCUCUGGGCACAGGCAGCUCAUGGCAAUGCCGUGCCUGCUGUGGCCUUAUUUCCCUGCUCCUGCCUGCUGUGGAGCCUGUGCUCCUGUCCCACCCUCCUCACUCCGGGGGGGGUCUAGCCCCUGUUUAAUCCAGGUGCUCAGCAGCACCAUAUGUGCCACCCACCCUGUGUGGCAGAGGAAGCUCUGGCUCGUGGCUGGCAAUCACUGCUCACUCUGCCCCAGACAGAGUGUUUAGCUGAGCCCUGCCUGCACAAAAUUGUUUUCCCUCCCUGUCUCCUGGGAUGUGUUUCAUUGCCGGGUGAGAGAGGCCAUCCCACAGCCAUCAUGGUCCGCCUGACCCACCACAGGCACCUCCCGCUCUGAUCCCACCUCCCGUUCAGAUCCAGGCAGGGGAUCCAUUUGCCAGAUGCUCGAUGGCAUCUCCGGAGCUCAUUCCCGCAGCUGGGUUGCAAAUGCUGCCUGGACAUGCUGUCCCCAUGGGAGGGACCGUCCUGCCAGCAGUGCCUGCGGCAUGUGGUGACAAUGAACCGCAGGAAGCAGGAGCAGCUCCACAGCUGAACAUGCAGAGUCAUCACGGCCCAGCUCCCCCAGGACCUGCUGCAGUCCUGGCUUUUCCAGGCGGGCAGGGCAGGAGCAGAAUCAGGGCAGCAGCAGGAGCAAGGCAGCAGCAGGAGAAAGGCAGGAGCAGGAGCAGGGCAGGAGCAGGAGCAGAAGCAGAGCAGGAGCAGGAACCAGAGCAGGUCAGAAACAGGAGCAGGGCAGAAGCAGGAACAGGGCAGAAGCAGGAACAGGGCAGGCAGCAGACAUGGGCUGGCUGCUGGCACCAGCCAUGUGUCCCUGUAUCCCUGUGGAGGUGGAGUAGCACCCACCACAGCGCAGUUGUGACUGCCGGCUGCCCCAGUACAACUGGUGCCUGCGGAACCACAGGGUCCCAGUGACCCAGCUUAACCACAGGGCAGGAGCAGAGCUGGCAGAGGCAGCAGUAGCAGUGGCAGUGGAAGUCAGUCCCUGCCCUCAGUGCAGGGGUUCCCACACCAGGUAGGGACAGUUUGGGGCAUUGCCACCAUUUCUGAUGUGGUGGUUCCUGGUGCCCCCCUGUGCCUGGUGGUGGGUCUAGCUCCCUGCUCUGCAAGGGGAAAGGGACAGGAGGAUCCCUGCCCAGCCCUCCUGCCAGGCUCCUGCCAGCUUGGCUCGGCUCUGCCUGAGGAUGGUGCCGUGUGUCUCUCCCUUGCUGCGUUGGUUGUUUCUUUUGCAGCUGCUAAUGACUGACCUGAAGUCUGUUCACACAGUCCCCUCGCGGCCUCCACAGCGCAGAGCCACACAGGAUGGGGGGACAUUGCACGGCACUUGCAUAGCUGGUGACCACAGUGCCACCAUCCCAGAGACACGGCCUCAGCUCCUGCCUGGCCAGACCAGCUGUGCCUGGAGAGGAGCCAGGCUCGCGGAGCCGAUGUCACCACCUGCACACAAUGCCAGAGACGGGCUGGCCCCAGCAGAGCAGCCUGGUGCUCAGUGCCAUGGGCCAGAGCCACGAGCCCGGCCACUGCGGGGGACACAGCCGAGGACACGGCGCUGGGGACACCUGAGGACACGGGUCUGCAUGUGCUCGCGGUUUUCCUGCAAGGUGCUGGGGUUCCCUUCCCUUCCGCUGCUCCAUCCCAGCCAUGGGCAGGAUGAGACCCAUCCCCUUCCCUGAACCCAGUGUAGGGAGAGGGAGAAGGGGAGGCAACAGGGAUGGAGCUGUGCCAGCUCCUCAAUGAGACACAAUGGCCAGAGCACAAAGGGACUCUGGUUGUCCCCACUGAUCCUGCCCGUCCCUCUGUCUGUUGGUGAAGUCCUGCUGCUUUCUGCCCUGGAACUGCCUUGCACUUCUAGUGCCAUGUUCUCCCUUGCCCUGUCUCCCUUGCCCUGUGGAGCAGCCUGGAGUGUGUGGAGGGUCAUGGGCAGUGAAUCCUCCUCCCAUGACCUCUGUGGGGGUGGCAGUGGCCCAGUAAGUGGUUGGGCUGUGGCCGCACCAAGCAGUCACUCCGGCUCCUGUCUCUGCACAGGAGGGAGAGCUGGGAAUGAGGUGGGCUGGUGGCUGAGGGCAGACACAGCUUGUGGCAGGUGUUAGAGCCUUGAAGUCCAAGCUGGAAAGGCAUCCUCUUGGGGACCAGCAGGAGUUAGUGCUGCAGGAGGAGGUAACCCAGAGGAACAUGGGACAGAGGGUGCCCUGGGUGCCCCACAACAGCCCUGUUUCUCAGGGCACAGUGCUCUUACUGCCCUCAGAGCACUGCUUAGCUCCAUGGAGAGGUAGCUUCUGACAGGGAAGGGGUAAGCUAUGGGCCACUUUUCCUCUGCUCCAUGGCAUGGUUUUCCCUGCUGAAUCUCUUCCUCCCUUCACAGGCAAUGGGAGCUCAGUGGAGACCUAGAGCAGCUCUCUGCAGAAGCCCUGCUCUUGCAGAGCUGCCCGUAGCCUUGCCCCAGGCAUGGUCAGUGAUGCUUUCACCCCUUCCCUCUCUGCUUCUUCCAGCUCCUUUAGUGCCCUGACCUGAGUCACUGCCUUGCGCUGCUGGGACUGUCUCUUCUAUGCAUCCAGUCUCCCACCCUCACCAGUACUAGGAGUGGGAAGCACACUCUGUGUGAGGACACACUGCUCCGGGCAUUUGGUACCUCACUGGCCUGGAUGAGAGGGGCAGAUCCUUGCAAAGCAUUUAACUCAGAAACAGGUUACAUUACGCAGGUUAAGCCCUCCAAUAACACCUUCCCAAAUCUCGAUGUGGUAGCAACGCCCCAAAACGCCUCCUGCUCUUGUGAGCCAGAGCCCUGCUGCUCACUGGGCCUGGCUCUGCAUGCUGCCGCUGCGCUCUGACAUUAACCUACUAACCCGCUGGGACCCUGUGCCCUCACCAGGGGCUGGCACAGCCCCUGGCACACGGACUAACCCACUAACUGGCCCCAGUGCAUGCCCUACUAACCCACAGCCAGCCCUGCCUCACACUCACUAACUGUGGCAGCAGUGCUGCCUUUAAAGGGGAACGGAAAAGCUGGGAAAGGAGGUUUGGAAGUGCCAGGUGUCAGUGCCAGGCUGUACAGGCAGGGACGGGCAAGGGCAGCCCCAGCUGUGGGCAGGAGAGGGGAUUGGCAGCCCCUGCCCAGCAUUGGGCCGUGUCCGUCAAGCUCUGCCUAUACAGGCAGCCCCAGCCCCAGCUGUGAGCAGGAGGGAGGACUGGCAGCCCCUGCCCAUGCAAGCAGCCCCUGUUCUGGGCAGGAGAGGGGACCAACAGUCCCUGCCCCAGGCAGGAGAGGGAACCAGCAGCCCCUGCCCUGGGCAGCCCUUGCCAGCACGAGGAGAGGGUUUCUCCUCGCACGCCCUGCCCGGCUCUGCCCGUGAGCCUGUUGCUGACUAGGAGCCUAAAACGGUUUUAUCAGCAGAAGCUUUUCAGUUCCUUUUUAAGCCAGUAGAUCUCUGUUACUAACACAUUCCUGAACUGAAUUAAACAAACUAACCAUUGCUGCUUUUCUCUUCAUUUCUCUUCCAGUGUGUGUGUCCUAAGGCAGACCGGUGCCCUGCUUCUGUUACUAACCUGUACUUCUGUUAGCACUGUACUAAUCCUUCCUGACCUGUUUCCCUCUUGCUACUAACCAACUCUCUUUGCACUUUGCCUCUCGGAUGCUAUUUGCCAUGACAAGUGACGGUGGCUCCUCCUGGACUUCUGGUUAUCAACCUGCAGCACCCCAAUUUUCAGUGCUGCUGAGCAUCCCUGGCUCCCAUUCGGUGCAAUGGGAAGGAAGAUGCCUUUACUGGAGGGUUUUGGAAAUUUCCCCAUUUGCCUUCUGUUUUCCGAGAAAUUUCAUGUGGCGCAAUGAGGAAAAGAGGCUGAGAGGCAAUAGGACAAUACAAAACCAUUAAUAAUGACCAGUAAUGGCUGUAAAGAUCCAGCAAACCCAGAGAGAUUCAGCCACAGAGUGAUGCUAUUGCCCAUGAGCCCCACCAGAGCCUGAGUUUGGGCCUCUCCUGGGGCCCCACGUCACCCGUCAUGGGGAAUGGUCUUGUGCUGCUCCGUGAAUUGGCUCGCGGACACUCCCGGGCUCCUCUCUUCACUCCCUUUGUCUUUCCACAGUUUAUCUUGUGCCUGGUGCAUGUGGAAGCUGUUGCCAGCAGCGUGGGCGUGACUAACCAUACCUGUGUGUGACCGCUGGGCUGGUAAUGAGCCGAGGGCAGGAGGGGGCAGUGGGUGUCAGAGGGGGCUCUGCCAUCAGGCUGUGAUGGAGGCACAGCCUGGGCUUUGCUUUCUGUUUGUCUGUCAGUUGGAAGAACGUUCCCGGCCUCUCAGGGGUCCUGCCAAGGUGAAGUCUCCAGGACCUGGCCCAACAGUGUAGGUUUGGACAUGGGCUGGUGACCCAGGGCCAGGCACCACCACUGCCAUGUUCAGGACUGCCAUGACCAGUGGGGCAAAGCCAAGCCCUGUGUGCCAGCAGAGGAUGGUGGCCCUGUGCUGCUGGUGGGCAUGGGCUGGCUCAUGAGGACACCCCAGACUGUCGCUGCUGUGGGGACACAGCAGUGUGGGGCUGCCCCCACCAAGGAUCAGGGCAGCUCUGUCUGGGGGUUACAGAUCCAGGCAGCAUCCAGCUCUGGCUGCUCUUUCUUGGCUUUGCCUUAUGCUCACUAACCCCGUGGUCUCCCCAGUCACUGUCACUGGCUGGUGUCACCAUCACCCCACAGCAGCUCCUGCCUUCAAUGAAAGGCAGAACCAGAGUGGGGUCCCCCUGGAUGGCUGGGUCCACCCCCUAAUGCUGCCACUGCUCCUGGGCAUCCCAGCUCUGCGCUGACCCAAGCCUGCUCCUUCAGUUGGGGUGUCACUGGGCUCUCAGGCUGAUGGGGGUCCCCUCCUCACCCAGCUCCGUGUCUGUCCAACCUCCACCUUAUUUCACUAACCAUAUGCCUACCCUUCCUCCACACAGCUGGCACCAGGGUGGGUUUUUGGGCUGAUGCUCCUAUGUUUGAUGGAAGGGGGACACAGGGCCCUGCUGUGGGCUGGGGGCAGAGGAGGAAGCAGGGGUGCAGGGACAGGAAUGGGCUAGGAGGGCAAGCCAGGUUGGGCACAGGGUGGGCAGGUUCACGGCUCCUGCACAGGUAGGAGCACCACCAGCACUGGGCUGGGGUUGUCAGAGCCCACCAUUGUGAGGGACUCUCCUCCCUGCCCCACAACCCUUCUUUCUGCUCCAGAGCAGCCCUCCUGCACCCAGGGGGACCUCCCCAGGCUGGUCACUGAGGGGAGUCAUGGGACCACAAGUCACCCUGAUAGCCAAGAGGAUGCACUGGACAAAUGUGGCCCUCCAGGGGCAGCCAGUGUUGCCCACAGACCGCUCAGUGGGGACAGACCACCAGUGCCUUUGGGUAGCUGCUCCCGUUGCAGAGCCACCAUUGCUGAGCUGAGCAGGCCUAGAGGGCAGGGAGGCUUCCCCAAACAGCCUGGUUGCUCCUUUCCUCUGCUUCAGCACCUUGGGGCUCCCUGUCCCUGCUCCCCAAUUCCUGCAGCUGGCAGAGGAGUUGGUCAGUCUGUCUGUCUGUUUCUCCCACUUUGCUGGUGCAGGGAGGAGUGGGGCUGGGGCACCCCAACAGCAACAUGGGCAGAGGUCAGAAGGUGUCAGCCCUGGGUGCACCAUCUUGCCCAGGGUGCUCCAGACCAAGCUGGCCAGGGCUGCCCCUGCUCUGCAGGACCCCGCACUCACCCCACGUCAGCACGGUGGGAGCGGGCACAGCCACGGUGGGACUGGACUGGACACUGGAGUGGGGCGUGGGGAUGCUCUGGGGCAGGGAGUCCUGGGGUGGCCUCAGCGGUGUGAGCAGGAAUCCCGCAGGUCACCACGGCCCCGAGGAUGAACCCACAGCCCCGAGGAUGUCCCUGCUGCCUGUAAUGUCUACUGUGAACAUGGCAAGUGUGCAACCAC
Molecule: long non-coding RNA, 6812 nt
Organism: Corapipo altera (White-ruffed manakin)
Lineage: Eukaryota; Metazoa; Chordata; Aves; Passeriformes; Pipridae
Exons: 3
Source: RefSeq, a predicted model, not a curated record